CCCAGACUCCUACGGGAGGCAGCAGUGGGGGAUAUUGCACAAUGGGGGAAACCCUGAUGCAGCGACGCCGCGUGGGCGAAGAAGUAUUUCGGUAUGUAAAGCCCUAUCAGCAGGGAAGAAGAAAUGACGGUACCUGAGUAAGAAGCACCGGCUAAAUACGUGCCAGCAGCCGCGGUAAUACGUAUGGUGCAAGCGUUAUCCGGAUUUACUGGGUGUAAAGGGGGCGCAGACGGCAGCGCAAGCCAGGAGUGAAAGCCCGGGGCCCAACCCCGGGACUGCUCUUGGAACUGCGCGGCUGGAGUGCAGGAGGGGCAGGCGGAAUUCCUGGUGUAGCGGUGAAAUGCGUAGAUAUCAGGAGGAACACCGGUGGCGAAGGCGGCCUGCUGGACUGCGACUGACGUUGAGGCCCGAAAGCGUGGGGAGCAAACAGGAUUAGAUACCCUCGUA
RNAcentral lists this ribosomal RNA (447 nucleotides) under uncultured bacterium. RNAcentral describes it as "bacterial SSU rRNA". It matches the Rfam family "Bacterial small subunit ribosomal RNA", at positions 330 to 792 of the family's 1533-position model. The record is from RNAcentral.